Molecule: ribosomal RNA, 509 nt
Filed under: uncultured Bacteroidota bacterium
Lineage: Bacteria; Pseudomonadati; Bacteroidota
Description: bacterial SSU rRNA
Rfam family: Bacterial small subunit ribosomal RNA
Source: RNAcentral
GGAAUAUUGCGCAAUGGAGGCAACUCUGACGCAGCCAUGCCGCGUGCAGGAAGAAGGCGCUACGCGUUGUAAACUGCUUUUAACCGGGAAGAAACCCCAGGACGUGUCCUGGGUUGACGGUACCGGAGGAAUAAGCACCGGCUAACUUCGUGCCAGCAGCCGCGGUAAUACGAAGGGUGCAAGCGUUAUCCGGAUUCAUUGGGUUUAAAGGGUGCGUAGGCGGAGCGUUAAGUCAGUGGUGAAAUCCUGCAGCUUAACUGUAGACUUGCCAUUGAUACUGGCGCUCUUGAGUGCGCUUGAAGUAGGCGGAAUGUGCCGUGUAGCGGUGAAAUGCUUAGAUAUGGCACAGAACACCAAUUGCGAAGGCAGCUUACUAAGGCGAUACUGACGCUGAGGCACGAAAGCGUGGGGAGCGAACAGGAUUAGAUACCCUGGUAGUCCACGCCGUAAACGAUGAUCACUCGUCAUUGGCGAUAUACGGUCAGUGACCUAGCGAAAGCGUUAAGUGA